CUAAAUCUAUUUAUCCAGUGAAGUUGCUUAUCUUUACAACCUGUACUACAACAAUUAAGAUGAAUAUAAAUAGCUAUUGUAGGUAAAUUUUAUCUAAGGAGUAAAGCCAUACCUACUCGUGUUGUAUCAUUCACUUUUCUCUCUACAUAUGCCCGAGGGCACACAAUGUGUGGCCACGGUAGUGAAGCUAGCCAGCAAAGGAUCCAAAUAUUGUUUUCUAGUUUUGUGUUGAAUUUUGCAUCCCCCUCACCAAAGUAUCACAUCUCUAAGAAAAAAAAAGCAACUCCGGAAUAUGACAAUACCUUCGGAAUGAGCGGCAUUGGGAAACAAAUUCAACCUGCCUAGCUUUGUUGAACUAUGAGAGUUUCUUGUCAACAUAAAUUUGACGAGUUUGAGGUGUUUCAUCGAUCUUCCCAAUUGUAUCUACCUUCGUUUGCACCGAUGAGGUCCACAUGCACGCCCUGCUCCAUCUAGUACUUUUGUUGGAGAGACCUUUUUUGUGCGACAAGAAGAACCAUGUUGAGCUUGCUGUGAUGACUCCUUACUCACCAAGUGCCUUGCGUGCAAGGCCGGGCUGGCAAUAUCCGGAGCCCUGCGUGAAACUAAAAAAUGAGGCAUUAUCUUAUUAGAAAAAUGAAUAACGAAAAAUUAUAAUGUAUAUAUAUUUUGUAGAUUAUUUUAUAAUGCAUAUGAUAUAAUGUUUCCAAUCGAGGAGCAGCCUCAGGACUGUCGCUGAAUCUUCAAUCGAUCCUCUUGUACAUUGUAGUGAGUAGCGACGGUGUCGCGAUUGCUGUUUUGUGAUUGAUCUAACUACAUAUAUAUGUUACAUGGUACAUGGGGAUACGGAUACGGUAAUACAAAAAAUAAACUUCAUUUUUCAAAAAUGGGCUUG
This 892-nucleotide long non-coding RNA is filed under the name Hordeum vulgare. RNAcentral describes it as "long non-coding RNA (HVUL_LNC002236)". The record is from RNAcentral. Lineage: Eukaryota; Viridiplantae; Streptophyta; Magnoliopsida; Poales; Poaceae.